GGCCUCGUAGCUAAGUUGGCUAGAGCGUUGGCAGAACUUAAGCCUUCUCCUUGCUGGCAUGGGAUCGAAUCUCAUCGAGGCCU
Molecule: transfer RNA, 83 nt
Filed under: Schistocephalus solidus
Lineage: Eukaryota; Metazoa; Platyhelminthes; Cestoda; Diphyllobothriidea; Diphyllobothriidae
Rfam family: tRNA
About the family: Transfer RNA (tRNA) molecules are approximately 80 nucleotides in length. Their secondary structure includes four short double-helical elements and three loops (D, anti-codon, and T loops).
Source: Rfam by way of RNAcentral